CGAAGGGGCUAGCGUUGCUCGGAAUGACUGGGCGUAAAGGGCGCGUAGGCGGACAUAUUAGUCAGGCGUGAAAUUCCUGGGGCUUAACCUGGGGGCUGCGUUUGAUACGGUGUGUCUUGAGUGGGGAAGAGGUCGUGGAAUUCCCAGUGUAGAGGUGAAAUUCGUAGAUAUUGGGAAGGAACACCGGUGGCGAAGGCGGCGACCUGGUCCUUUGACUGACGCUGAGGCGCGAAAGCGUGGGGGAGCAAACAGGAUU
RNAcentral lists this ribosomal RNA (256 nucleotides) under uncultured bacterium. Its description in RNAcentral is "partial 16S ribosomal RNA". It matches the Rfam family "Bacterial small subunit ribosomal RNA", at positions 527 to 779 of the family's 1533-position model. The record is from RNAcentral.